UUUGCGGGGCUUUUUGCC
RNAcentral lists this unclassified non-coding RNA (18 nucleotides) under Chlamydomonas reinhardtii. RNAcentral's name for it is "small RNA Cre_4145". The record is from RNAcentral. Lineage: Eukaryota; Viridiplantae; Chlorophyta; Chlorophyceae; Chlamydomonadales; Chlamydomonadaceae.